UUUAUACACUGAUAAAAGUUGCUCUAAGAAAGAUUCCAUUGACUUCGUUAGACUAACAAAAGUGCUCAUGGCCCAGAAAAGGUUAAUUCUUCCUGGCAGUGGGCCUGCUGCCCCCCCUUCAGUGACUCUGGUGUCCUUCCACUCCGGAUCAGGUUUCAUUCAUCAGUGCCUUCAUUAGCACAGGCUUGUAGCCCGAAUGAUAUCUGCCGUCCUCCACGACAGAGCUCAAAUGCCACCAAUACACUUAUUCCCAGACUUUGUCCAUAUUUCAUUUUUACCUGUUGUCAUGUUCCUUUUUUUCAGCAACAGUGACAAGUCCUGGGCCCUUAUGUCCUGGGUCCUAUCUAAUUCAUCUCUGCAUCCCAGACAUUGUUUGGCAGAAAUGAAAUCUCCAAUCAAAGUUUGAUGCAUGUUUGAAUGAGGAAUCAUCUUGUGGCACAAGAGCCUGAUUUUCCUUUCUUCCUAUCAGGGCACCAGCGGCCCUGCAGCUGCCGGCGCCACCUCCAGCCAAACUGUGCUUCUGGGCACCCCUGAGAAUUCCUGGUGGGCCCAAGUAAGGUCUUCCUGCUCUGCAAAUCUCAACAGACAUUGAUGAAUCGUCCCUCAAGACUGCUCUGCAUCGUACAUUUAUUUAUCCGUGUUUCUCAUGAUGAAUCGUCCCUCAAGACUGCUCCUCAUCACGCAUUUAUUUUUCCGUGUUUCUCAGUCCCGGGUUGGCGUCUUCCUUCUCUCUCCCUCUGUCCCAGGAUGUCUCAAGCUCAGCACUGUUGACAUUUUUGGCUGCAUAAUUCUGGGUCACCAGGGGCUUUCCUGUGUCUUUUAGGGUAUUUCAACAGCAUCUCUGGCCUCUACACUAGGCACCAGCGGCAUCCUCCCCAAUUGUGACAAUCAAAACUGUCUCCAGACACGGACAUGUAACCUCUGUUGGGGAGGAGACGAGAACCAUCCUCAGUGUGUCCUCUGUCGGGGAGGAGAGGACAACCAUGCUCAGUGUGUCCUCUGUCGGGAAGGAGAGGACAACCAUCCUCAGUGUGUCCUCUGUCGGGGAGGAGAGGACAACCAUGCUCAGUGUGUCCUCUGUCGGGGAGGAGACGAGAACCAUCCUCAGUGUGUCCUCUGUCGGGGAGGAGAGGACAACCAUCCUCAGUGUGUCCUCUGUCGGGGAGGAGAGGACAACCAUGCUCAGUUGAGAACCACAGUUCUAUCCCUUUUAUAACAACUAGUUUGGAAAAAAAAUGUUUCUUGUGUUUGCUGAUAAAGUACUUAUUAGUCAAUCAUUUAUUCCUUUAACUAUUGUUGCAUAGUUACUGUAUAUAUGCCAGUCUGCAAAUGCUAGUCUAGCUUUAUGCUAGAAGCUACAAAAUAUUCCAGACUCCUUUUGCAAUUUUGUUGGCCAAAUCUCCUGACCUUGAUUGAUUAGCAUAGCCAUUAAAAUAAGUGUCCUCAUUGGUCAGGGCUGGGCUUACACAAAGCACAUAAAGGGCCUGAAGCUCUGAAGGGCUGGGGAAAGCACACUCAAAAUCCAGAGCCUGGUCCGUGAGGCUCAGGGUACCAAGAAACCGCAGUGAAGACUCAAAAACUACGGAAUAUCUACUGUGACGUCUGCCCUUGAAUUGUUAGGUAUUAGCAAAAUAAUACUGGUUUUGCUGGCACCUCA
Non-coding RNA from Macaca mulatta (Rhesus monkey), 1657 nucleotides. NCBI's taxonomy places the organism in Eukaryota, Metazoa, Chordata, Mammalia, Primates, Cercopithecidae. The record is from RefSeq and is a predicted model, not a curated record.